This 112-nucleotide ribosomal RNA is filed under the name Caerostris darwini. Lineage: Eukaryota; Metazoa; Arthropoda; Arachnida; Araneae; Araneidae. The record is from RNAcentral.
AACGGCCGUACCAUGCUGAAUAUACCGGUUCUCGUUAGUUCACCGAAGUCAAGCAUCAUUGGGCGCGGUCAGUACUUGGGUGGGUGACCACCUGGGAACACUGCGUGCCGUU